Molecule: long non-coding RNA, 1230 nt
Filed under: Manacus vitellinus (golden-collared manakin)
Lineage: Eukaryota; Metazoa; Chordata; Aves; Passeriformes; Pipridae
Description: lncRNA (ENSMVIG00005018342.1)
Source: RNAcentral
GUUUUUUAUUUAUCUGCGUAUCAUCCACGCAGGCAGAUAUGGCAUUUCCCUCAGUCCUGGUUUACAACUGGAGAAAUACGGCCUGUCCGAAGCCUUCCCGUUUCACCUCCGUGAUCAUUCUGUAGCUGACCGUUCAGCUACCAGAGUUUUAUGAUUUUUUAGACCAUACCUGUUUCCUCAGCAUCCUGUUUUCUGUGACUGAAAACCCCUGUGUCUGCCCACUCACCUGUUACAGCUUUAAAAACAUUUAGAAAGAAUACAGGGAAAAACACAAACUUGGCAGAGGCUCAAGAAUAUAGCUUAAGAAGCAACAUAUUUGGACACUAAAUACUAGGAAAUCAAUGUAAGAGUAAUCAAGUAUCACAAAGGCAAGUAUCUAGUGGAAGAAAAAAUAGUAAAACAUGUUAUAUAGAAAAAACAGGCACCGUUGGCUACAGCAAGAGGAAAAGCCCCACAAAAUUUAUUAAGUACAUAAAGCAUACAUGUUUCAAAAAUGUUAAAUCUCAGUUAAUAAUAAUCAUUCACUGAAUGUCAAAUUUAAGUUCAUUAUUAAUUAUAUUCCCAUUCUGAUUCCUCCUGAAAAAUGCCAAAAUGAGAAAUCUGCCCAGGAAAGAGAACAGAAAAGGCAGAAAGGUGACAUUAGAAGUGAAGAGGAGGAAGAAGAACAAGAGCAGAAAUGGAAAAGGAAAGAGAAGUAGGAACAAAUGGAAAAAGUGAAGGUAGAUCUGGAAAAGGAACAACAGAGGAGAUGGAAGAGAUGUGGCCAUGCACAUGCAUCCAAACCUAUCAAUGUUCCAGCAUGAAGAAACAUAGAUAACAACAAAACAUCUUCUAAUAUAACAGAAGACUAACAACACAGCGUGUGAAGGAGCCAGCAAACUGAUCCAGCACUGCCAGGCAAAUUCUAAACUAAAGUAUAACAUCACAGAUCUUUUAAUCUGAAAUAGGUGCAUAGCAGCAUACUAGAUUUUUCCUAAGUUUAGUAUUGUGUGUAUGUCUACUAACUUAACUUCAUUUUUUCUAAUACUUUCAUCUAAAUUCUGAUUUUUCCAAGUGUCUCUCAAUAUGAAAAAAAUCAGUAUCAACAGUGAUUCAAAGUCAUUAAACAAAUUCAGGUUUUCAACCAAUUGUACCUAGCUUACAGUGAGUUCACGAAGAUGAUAUUCCCCACUUUUCAUAAAGCACUAAAUCCCUUACUGAGCAUCUCCCCUGACAAAAACCUCAGCAUGG